This 708-nucleotide ribosomal RNA is filed under the name uncultured Actinobacillus sp. RNAcentral's name for it is "bacterial SSU rRNA". It matches the Rfam family "Bacterial small subunit ribosomal RNA", at positions 99 to 803 of the family's 1533-position model. The record is from RNAcentral. Lineage: Bacteria; Pseudomonadati; Pseudomonadota; Gammaproteobacteria; Pasteurellales; Pasteurellaceae.
CGGACGGGUGAGUAAUGCUUGGGAAUCUGGCUUAUGGAGGGGGAUAACUACGGGAAACUGUAGCUAAUACCGCGUAGUAUCGGAAGAUGAAAGUGUGGGACCGCAAGGCCACAUGCCAUAAGAUGAGCCCAAGUGGGAUUAGGUAGUUGGUUAGGUAAAGGCUGACCAAGCCGACGAUCUCUAGCUGGUCUGAGAGGAUGACCAGGCACACUGGAACUGAGACACGGUCCAGACUCCUACGGGAGGCAGCAGUGGGGAAUAUUGCACAAUGGGGGGAACCCUGAUGCAGCCAUGCCGCGUGAAUGAAGAAGGCCUUCGGGUUGUAAAGUUCUUUCGGUGAUGAGGAAGGUGUUUGUUUUAAUAGAACAAGCAAUUGACGUUAGUCACAGAAGAAGCACCGGCUAACUCCGUGCCAGCAGCCGCGGUAAUACGGAGGGUGCGAGCGUUAAUCGGAAUAACUGGGCGUAAAGGGCACGCAGGCGGUGACUUAAGUGAGAUGUGAAAGCCCCGAGCUUAACUUGGGAAUUGCAUUUCAUACUGGGUCGCUAGAGUACUUUAGGGAGGGGUAGAAUUCCACGUGUAGCGGUGAAAUGCGUAGAGAUGUGGAGGAAUACCGAAGGCGAAGACAGCCCCUUGGGAAUGUACUGACGCUCAUGUGCGAAAGCGUGGGGAGCAAACAGGAUUAGAUACCCUGGUAGUCCACGCUGU